Molecule: long non-coding RNA, 271 nt
Filed under: Brassica napus (rape)
Lineage: Eukaryota; Viridiplantae; Streptophyta; Magnoliopsida; Brassicales; Brassicaceae
Description: long non-coding RNA (BNAP_LNC025598)
Source: RNAcentral
UUGAUUUGGAUACAUAAAGUGGUGGAGAAUCACCAGGAAGUUGAAUAAAUCUCAUAGGAGUUGGGAUGAAGAAGUUAUCCCACUUUCAAAUCAGGUCAUUCCAGUUUCCCAGUUUGGGAAUAGGACAGCUUGUUCGUCGUUCCAAUCAAACCAGGAUGAAUCACUUGGUGAAAAGCUUGAUUUGGAUACAUAAAGUGGUGGAGAAUCACCAGGAAGUUGAAUAAAUCUCAUAGGAGUUGGGAUGAAGAAGUUAUCCCACUUUCAAAUCAUG